GACGGAGGGGGCAAGCGUUAUCCGGAAUUAUUGGGCGUAAAGGGUACGUAGGCGGCUGGUCAAGUCUGGGGUCAAGGCCCACAGCUCAACUGUGGGAAGGCCCUGGAAACUGACAGGCUAGAGUGUGGUAGGGGUUGCGGGAAUUCCCGGUGGAGCGGUGAAAUGCGUAGAGAUCGCGAAGAACACCUGAGGCGGAAGCGCGCAACUGGGCCUCAACUGACGCUGACUUACGAAAGCUAGGGGAGCUGUUGGG
RNAcentral lists this ribosomal RNA (253 nucleotides) under uncultured bacterium. RNAcentral describes it as "partial 16S ribosomal RNA". It matches the Rfam family "Bacterial small subunit ribosomal RNA", at positions 524 to 776 of the family's 1533-position model. The record is from RNAcentral.